AUGGAUUUGGGGCUGAUGUGGGUUUUCCUUGUUGCUCUUUUAAAAGGUGUCCAGUGUGAAGUGCAGCUUGUGGAGUCUGGGGGUGGCCUGAUACAGCCUGGAGGAUCCCUGAGACUCUCCUGUGCAGCCUCUGGAUUCACAUUCAGUGACUACUGGAUGAGCUGGUUCCAACAGGCUCCAGAGAAGGGGCUGGAGUGGGUUGGAGAUAUUAAUAAAGAUAGCAGUAAAAUCAACUAUGCACCAUCCCUGAAGGAUCGAUUCACCAUCUCCAGAGACAACGCCAAGAACACUCUGUACCUGCAAAUGAGCAGUGUGAGAUCUGAGGACACUGCCACUGUGCUAGAGACACAAUGA
Non-coding RNA from Peromyscus eremicus (cactus mouse), 354 nucleotides. NCBI's taxonomy places the organism in Eukaryota, Metazoa, Chordata, Mammalia, Rodentia, Cricetidae. The record is from the annotation of a RefSeq genome assembly.